Molecule: small nuclear RNA, 107 nt
Organism: Camelus dromedarius (Arabian camel)
Lineage: Eukaryota; Metazoa; Chordata; Mammalia; Artiodactyla; Camelidae
Source: Ensembl
GUGCUCGCUUCAGCAGCACAUACACUAAAAUCAGAACGAUACAGAGAAGAUUAGCAUGGCCUCUGCGCAAGAAUGACAUGCAAAUUUGUGAAGCGUUCCAUAUUUAA